UACGUAGGGUGCAAGCGUUAUCCGGAAUUAUUGGGCGUAAAGAGCUCGUAGGCGGUUUGUCGCGUCUGCUGUGAAAACUGGAGGCUCAACCUCCAGCCUGCAGUGGGUACGGGCAGACUAGAGUGCGGUAGGGGAGAUUGGAAUUCCUGGUGUAGCGGUGGAAUGCGCAGAUAUCAGGAGGAACACCGAUGGCGAAGGCAGCUCGCUGGGACGGUACUGACGCUGAGACGCGAAAGCGUGGGGAGCAAACAGG
This 253-nucleotide ribosomal RNA is filed under the name uncultured bacterium. Its description in RNAcentral is "partial 16S ribosomal RNA". It matches the Rfam family "Bacterial small subunit ribosomal RNA", at positions 524 to 776 of the family's 1533-position model. The record is from RNAcentral.